AAGAUGGGGUAGGAGGCAGAUCUGUUCGAGUCUGAUGCACACGGAGUCUCCGAGGAACAAACACGUCCUAUACAAUACAAGUGCAGAGACAGAGUCUAUGCAAUUCUAGUCUCUUACGACGUGCUGGACUGGAUAUCAGGAUUCUAGCUUCCUCUGCGGGCGGUGGGUCCUGUUAUGUUCAUUUUUUCCUUCCGUUCAAGCAAAUCAACAGUCCAACAAUGCAAAGGGAAGCGAACCAACAUGGCGCCGGCGCGAGGAAUACGGGCGGAUCCGGGGGCGGCAGCGACCGAUCUGGCUGCUGGUGCGGCGGUUUGUUCCGGUGGCGGCGGCGGCGUCCUGCUCAUUCAUAGAAAGAGAGACAGGGCGUGAGGGAGAGAGGAAGAAAGGAGAAGGAGCAGGGGGCGCAGGGUCAGGGAGGCUGUCGCUAGCGGUGGCGGCUCCGGCGACCGGCCGGCGGGCUUCCCAGGCAAGGCUAAGGAGUACGCUAGCCUGAGAUUCAAUAGAGGUAUGUUUGAUUUUUAGAAUUGGGCUUAACAGCCUGUUUGUUGUGCUUCAUCUUCUGAAUUGGAAACCAUGGCGUGCCUGAAUAUUUUUUCUAGAACAUGGUGCUUGAGUUGGUAAUCAUUCGUGGGUGAUUUAUCCCAUAUACUGAUGGAUCAUCCUUUGGAGUGCAUGACUUGAAUGGAUUUCUGAAUUCCAAACAGUAUGCUCUCGUGAUGUUUGAUUAGGGUCUUCUGUGAAUCCGUACCAAAACCAUGCUUGUAUUUUCUUGUUCCCUCUCUCUAAUCCGGGACAGACACGGUGAUUCUGGUCGGAGCCGUGGCUACGUGAUUCUGGCCCGCGUGCAUCCAUAGUCAGAGGACGCCGAGCCUUCCUCGCUGCCAGCAACAUCAGCUCGUCUCGGCAUGAGGUCUGCACGCUUACCUUAUACCUUUCUAAUGGAAACUGAACUGGGAUUUUUUUGUCUACGCUGCUUCUUGCAGAUAGUCCAUGGUUUGUACAAAUAACCACAUGUAAAUCUUAAUUUAGUUGAUAUUGGAAAAGAUUGUUUCUUUGGAACCUUAUAUGUGGAGCAACUAGAAAUAGUACCUAUGUGUUUUUUCCUGGCUCCCACAUCAGACCAGUGCUCUAAUGUUUGUUCCAGGUUGAGCAUGGCAAUAAUGUACAGUUUGAACUUCGUGCUGGCAGAACUUUUUUGUCUUGAAGCAUUCUGUGAAUUACACCAUGAAUAGCAAGAACAUCAGGCCAUUUGAGAGAAGGGGUGUCCAGGAGUUCUCCCUAAAUCUUACUGCAUUCUUAGUGAUAAUGAGGAAUUAUUAUUCACUUGAGAAAAUAAAAAUUAAAACGGUGAGGCUCUCAAAAGUGAAAUGACUUUCUAAGCUGGACAUUGACCUUUUUUUGAGCUAGAUAUUGACUUUCUGAGUAGCACAAUAUAGGUCCUAUCUGAAGCCUUUUACGUGCCUGUUAUAAUGAUCUUCUUAUUUUCCUUUGCAUAUUAACUAGAGAAUAUUAUUGUCUGCUAUAACUGCUGAAAGAUGUCAUAUUCCUUUGUUAUAAUGCUGUUUGCAGUAGGAGGUGUACGCCUCUCGUUCAAAGAAGAGGCUCAACAAUCUUUUAGAUGGACUUAUGAUUACCACAUAUAUGAUCUUAUGAAGCAGGAGUUGAGAACUACAAAAUCCAUCUAUUCCUAGAAUGGAGCUGGUUGAAGUUGGGCCUUCAAUGGACCUGGUAGUUAGGUGGCACCGACGUUUAGUAAAGCCAAUUUUUUAUGAGGAAAUGCACCAAAAAAAGUUUAGUGGAAGUGGAUUAGAUUGUUUGUGGUCAUAUGCUCUUGAGAAAAUUUGCGCUUUCUUUAUUUCUUCUGAUUAUAUAUUUUUGUUUAUUUCUAACUGACAUUGAUAUGCAAAAGAAAAUCCUGUGAUUUUUUUUGCCCUCUCAUUGACCAUUUAAUUUUUCAGUCAUAGCUAUAUACAAAGAAGUAUUGUACCAUAUAGUUUUGUCUUUUCGGAAAUGUCUAAAGGCCUGUUACAUGCAUCAUUUUCUCUUUCAUAUCCUUCAUUUGAAACUGAAAAUAUGAACCAUUUUGUUGAUAUGAACAUUAGUUGCAAGGUGAAUAAAUAGUGGUCGACAAUGUGGCUGGAUGUACAUGAGCAUAUGUUGUAUCUUUGACGCCAUUCAUUUUGAAUCAUUAGAAUAAUAAAAGAGGUUUGUUUGUAUAAUUAUUUUCCAGGUUUCUAAACACAUUUAUUUAUCUCUUUUGUAUCCAUUGCAACACAUAUGUUUCCCUAAAUAAAAUGACUGUACAAUUGUGUGAACUGAGUGGCUGGUCGUUACUGUAGAUUAAAUUUCUCACAUUAAGAAUCUUUGCCUGACGCUACAAAAAAUAUAUAUGUUUUGUAGCAGGAUUAGUGAUCAAAUAUAUCCUUUUUGUUGUAAAUAUUUUAGUCUGCUACUUUGUUCAUUAAUUUUUCUGGGCAUUUUUGCUUAAGUUUUAUUUCAAAGCAAAAUCAUAUCGAGCUAUCUACAAGUUAGAAUUGUCCAAAACAGUUUCUGUAACAUUGUAUAUCAUGUGUUUUCUCUUUUAUUCAUAACAUAAUAUGCAGUCACACAAUUUAUAUCUUGGUUGUGAAUUCCAGAGGGGAAGGUAGCCUUCCAGGCAGUUAGAGCUUCGUCACUUGGAAGGUAGACAAGCAAUGCAAGCCAACAAAGAAUUAGGGAAGCACCGAGUUCGCCGGACGUAGCAGAACGUUUGUCGAGCCAUCCAAUAUCGCCAACGGUGGCUACACCAGAGAUAAUUUGCUUCAGUUCAUCGAACUACCUGCUGAAACAUGUGUAUUGUUUCUCAAUAUAUUGGGCAUCAAUCCACCUCUCAUGAGAUCUCUGAAUUUUCGACACAUAUUGUAUUGUAUUUGCUGAAUUAUUUCCUCCAGAUAACUAUGCUUGGAUUCACAAAUGCGUGCAAUGCUUUCAAGUAGAGGUAGUUCAAUACUUAAGUUGUGCUAUUCCACUUUCAAGUUUUUGGUCCUAGAAGUGUAAUACUUGGUAGGUUAGCUGCAAAAGCGGAAUGUAUAUGGCCUGAAUUUAUAUUUCAGAGUGUAUAAUCUGAUUCAGAGUAUUUUGAC
Triticum aestivum (bread wheat) is the source of this 3122-nucleotide long non-coding RNA. RefSeq lists it as uncharacterized. The transcript has 2 exons. The record is from RefSeq and is a predicted model, not a curated record. NCBI's taxonomy places the organism in Eukaryota, Viridiplantae, Streptophyta, Magnoliopsida, Poales, Poaceae.